CAAUAGCGUAUAUUAAAGUUGUUGCGGUUAAAAAGCUCGUAGUUGGAUUUCUGCUGAGGACGACCGGUCCGCCCAUUGGGUGUGCAUCUGGCUUGUUCUCGGCAUCUUCUUGGUGAACGUUGCUGCACUUGACUGUGUGGAGCGCUACCCAGGACUUUUACUUUGAGGAAAUUAGAGUGUUUCAAGCAGGCAUAUGCCUUGAAUACAUUAGCAUGGAAUAAUAAGAUAGGACCUCGGUUCUAUUUUGUUGGUUUCUAGAGCUGAGGUAAUGAUUAAUAGGGACAGUUGGGGGCAUUCAUAUUCCAUUGUCAGAGGUGAAAUUCUUGGAUUAACGGAAGAUGAACUACUGCGAAAGCAUCUGCCAAGGAUGUUUUCAUUGAUCAAGAACGAAAGUUAGGGGAUCGAAGAUGAUUAGAU
RNAcentral lists this ribosomal RNA (417 nucleotides) under uncultured eukaryote. Its description in RNAcentral is "SSU rRNA". It matches the Rfam family "Eukaryotic small subunit ribosomal RNA", at positions 592 to 1013 of the family's 1831-position model. The record is from RNAcentral.